This 492-nucleotide ribosomal RNA is filed under the name uncultured bacterium. Its description in RNAcentral is "partial 16S ribosomal RNA". It matches the Rfam family "Bacterial small subunit ribosomal RNA", at positions 29 to 507 of the family's 1533-position model. The record is from RNAcentral.
AGUGAACGCUGGCGGUAGGCCUAACACAUGCAAGUCGAACGGCAGCACAGUAAGAGCUUGCUCUUACGGGUGGCGAGUGGCGGACGGGUGAGGAAUACAUCGGAAUCUACUUUUUCGUGGGGGAUAACGUAGGGAAACUUACGCUAAUACCGCAUACGUCCUACGGGUGAAAGCAGGGGAUCUUCGGACCUUGCGCGAUUGAAUGAGCCGAUGUCGGAUUAGCUAGUUGGCGGGGUAAAGGCCCACCAAGGCGACGAUCCGUAGCUGGUCUGAGAGGAUGAUCAGCCACACUGGAACUGAGACACGGUCCAGACUCCUACGGGAGGCAGCAGUGGGGAAUAUUGGACAAUGGGCGAAAGCCUGAUCCAGCAAUACCGCGUGGGUGAAGAAGGCCUUCGGGUUGUAAAGCCCUUUUGUUGGGGAAGAAAAACAGCAGGUUAAUACCCGGCUGUUCUGACGGUACCCAAAGAAUAAGCACCGGCUAACUUCGUG